Molecule: ribosomal RNA, 546 nt
Filed under: Triticum aestivum (bread wheat)
Lineage: Eukaryota; Viridiplantae; Streptophyta; Magnoliopsida; Poales; Poaceae
Description: partial small subunit ribosomal RNA
Source: RNAcentral
AUGGCCAGAGAACAUGCAGUCGAAAAAAUGUCUUAUUGUGGCUCUCAAUCUGAUAAAAUAUCGUGUGAAAAUGUCUCUGAGGAUCUGGGUGUGGAAGAGAUGACUGAAUCUCCCAUUACUGAGAUCAGUGUGCAUAAAGGUGCUUGGGGAAUGAUUACUCCUGUUCCUCCCUCACCUAUGUUUGUCUGUCAUGAUAUGAAUACUUAUGGGAAUGCAUUUCCUCCCUUGUCAGACUAUGUGGUUUGGCCUUCCCUGCCUCAUAUUAUGCCACUUGAGGAGGGAUCCCUGGAAGGAGGAGAAAACUGUAGUGUGUAUACAGUUGAAUCUCCCUCUGGAUGUCCAAUUCAUGACAACAUGAGUCAAGAAGAGGAGGCCCCACGCAGAAUGAGGAAGCGCAAUCUGGAAGGUUUGCUAAAGGAAGAUGAAAAGGUGAAGCUCCAAGUUGGAGUGAAGAGGUUGGCUCACGCGGCUGCUGCGCUGGUGGACAGAUCUCAUCCUCGAGGCAGGCCACUCUUAGGAGACAGAGAUGGGAUCCAGAUUGGCUAG